CACCACGAUCAUCGUUGGCAUAUGAAAACUGAAAGUAGCGUAUGUUUAUCGGGAGGCUGGGGUGGCUUAUUAGUUUAAUUUAGCUUUGUUUAAGCUUAAGCUUAACUUGUUUGUGUCGGUUUAACCAUAAUCCCUCUAAAAAGUUAAAGUUUUUAAUCAUGAGUUUUCAAAAGUUUUAGAUUCAAAUUUUUUUACAUUUAUGUUGUUGUUUAAACAUUCUUUUUAGUCCAAUAAUAUGCCCGAAUAGUUAUUUGGCGUUGGUUGAAACUACCGCGAGGUGUGGAUGCGCAAAUUCGACAGUCGCCGUUUGUCACUUUUCCUCCGCCGCGUCAGGCGCGGUAGACCUAAGAAUAUAUAGCGCCUCUCCCUUCUCCUCCACUGCCGCUGGAUGCGUAUACUUCCCCUACGCUCCUUUUCUAGAUGCGUAUAGUUCGAUCGCAGGCCGCAAGUGGCGUCAUGAUCGAAUUCGCCACGCAUUUUUAACACGGCAUCGGCAAUCUCUCCUCUAAUCUCUGGUCGCAUCCCAAAGUAGCAACACUCUUUCGAAAAAAUUAAAAACUGCAAAGAUUUUUUUUCUGUAUGUUUGAAACGUCAGGGUUGGCGUUGGCGACUGAAAGUGCAGAUAACGCACCUAGUGGUUAACUACAUAGGCCGCACCGACUUAAGCAUCAGAAAGCUAUAGUCUAUUGCGCGAGAGUUAGGCUAGGCAUCUAAACAACAUGUAGGAAUGAAAAUUCUUUCAUCUAUUGCAUAAUCCAUGUCAAGGAUAAGAGUUAUUACGAUAAAAAAAUGUUUGUUUUCUCGAACUCAUGUCUAAACCUAACUACCCCGAAUGGAAAUUGAAAUCGUACGUUUUUGUUAUAUUACGGGAUGCUGUUGUAGAUUUUUGUACGAUGCCGUAUGUUCACAUUGGGAGUUUAAACUUGGUUCGCGCGCUCGGUUCGCGCGCUUGAAGGUUAACAAAGAUGGCAGCCAAAAAGUCUCCGAAAUACACAGAGCUCUUAUGGAGCUUCAUUAAAAAAUGUCGAAAUAUAAACUUUUACACGAUAAAAAAUCUUGUCAGUGUCCUUACACACUCCGUGUGAAUAGAGUGAGGCUACACCGUCGUCAAGAAACAUGAUAGAAGGCCAAAACGUUAUAAAUUCUGGCAUGAUUAACAUGUUUAGUGCUUUCCGUAAAAGCUCCAGAAAAAAUUGAGCUAUAUUCAUUAGUUUUACAAACAAGUUCUUUGAAAUAUAAGCCUUAUCUGGUCACAGGAAUUCCCGACAGUACUCGAUGGUAUUCGAAAGGAUUCCACUAAGUAUUUUCAUGGUGGUUACCUAUAUAAUCGCGAUUGGCGACCGGGUAUAAAAACACCCACCUAUCGAUGCAACACAAGAUCAAUCACAGCUUGUCCAGGCAAAAUUAUUGACAAUGACGAUUUGUCAAUAGUACAGGUGCGUGAACACAUUCCGCAUCCUAUUGAAGAAGAUUGCCUACAGCAGUAUGAGUUUAGAAAAGAGAUAUAUAGAGUGUGUGAGACAACUUUCGAUCCCUUUGAUGUUAUUUACAAUCAAGUGUCAUUAAGAAAUCGAGUUGGUGCGAGACACUUCACAUUAGAAAGAUUAAGAUCAUGAAUGUUACUUCAUCGACGAUUAAAUGUACCACCUCUUCCGCACAGUCUCGAUGAACUCAAAGAUUCUAUAAGGAUAUUUGCACUAGUAAUCUCUGGAUUUUAUAGGGGGUCAUGUACAGGGACUGAUGGAUCCGUCGCUUUAGUUUUUAUCCAUGAAGAGAUAAUGGAGCCUUUAAGAAAUUGCACUGUGCUUUACAUGGACAGUACAUUUGACCCAAGACCAUGAGAGCCCGCUGUGUCUGUCUAUGUCAAACAGUUAUUUAUUAUACAUUUUACAAGAUUGCUUGUCGGUUUUCCUGUCAUUUACGCUUUAACGAAUCGAAUGACUAGUGCUAUGUACUGUGACGUCAGCCAAUUCACAGCCAAACUUUUUCGAUUCUAAAAAGACAAAUAAUACUUUACAAUCAAAUCAGAAAUCAGAACGUAGAAAACCAUACACUGCAUUUGAACCCAUUACCAUGACUAGCGUCGAUAACUUACCGACAACUGCUAACCCGUUUGAACAUAGAGAGUUGUUACCCCGCGGUACCGACUAUCGUAUGGUAACCGACUACCGUGUGGUAAAUGAGAAAUUAUCCAAAGAAGAUAAAUAAAUCGAAUAACAAACGAGUCAUGCUGCGUAAAAACGCACUUACAAUAUACACAUAUAUUAUUAUUAAUUUACUAACAUUUAUUUCUAUUAUAUCCGUUAGAUUAAGUCAUGACCAUAAGUGCCUUAUAUAAUCUCUCUGCUACGAGUAAAUUUAGAAAUUUAAAAAAUUAUAUUAUUCAUACAUAUAAAACACAUUUUAUUUUAGCUUUAGAAAAACGCACUCUUUCUACAGAAAUCAAUAGUAACAGAAACCAUGAUCAACUACCUCCUGAAAUCCAGUACUAAUAGAAACCAUUAUCAGCCGCCUCUCAAUAGCGUGACGUACCUCCUUAGAUCUCCUGCUCUCCUGAUACUUUUCUCGUCUUUCGGACCUCAUAUCUUCCUUAAUAUUGCAGUCAGAAAAAUAAUGUAAAAUACUAAAAUCAUGUAAAAGCUCUCACCUACAUUUUAGCAUCGAAACCGCAAUGAAAUUUAUAAUAAUUAUUUUAUACUAAAGAACAAAGUUAUAUUAUUCUUCAUGCGUAUAAGAAAGAGGCGUAUAGAGUAAGAAAGUGAUUAUAGCCAACUCCGGUAACACUGCUUUUGUAUUCUGAAACCGAUAAGUCCUCGACUAGACCUCUAACUGAGCAGUCACUUUAUAAUUUUCGCUUGAAUAAAUUUCAUAGUAUUCUUUAA
This is an RNA transcript of Nasonia vitripennis (jewel wasp), 2882 nucleotides long. RefSeq lists it as uncharacterized. The transcript is spliced from 5 exons. NCBI's taxonomy places the organism in Eukaryota, Metazoa, Arthropoda, Insecta, Hymenoptera, Pteromalidae. The record is from RefSeq and is a predicted model, not a curated record.